Molecule: ribosomal RNA, 501 nt
Filed under: uncultured bacterium
Lineage: Bacteria
Description: partial 16S ribosomal RNA
Rfam family: Bacterial small subunit ribosomal RNA
Source: RNAcentral
AUUGAACGCUGGCGGCAGGCUUAACACAUGCAAGUCGAGCGGGGGAAGGUAGCUUGCUACCGGACCUAGCGGCGGACGGGUGAGUAAUGCUUAGGAGUCUGCCUAUUAGUGGGGGACAACAUCUCGAAAGGGAUGCUAAUACCGCAUACGUCCUACGGAAGAAAGCAGGGGAUCUUCGGACCUUGCGCUAAUAGAUGAGCCUAAGUCGGAUUAGCUAGUUGGUGGGGUAAAGGCCUACCAAGGCGACGAUCUGUAGCGGGUCUGAGAGGAUGAUCCGCCACACUGGGACUGAGACACGGCGCAGACUCCGACGGGAGGCAGCAGUGGGGAAUAUUGGACAAUGGGGGGAACCCUGAUCCAGCCAUGCCGCGUGUGUGAAGAAGGCCUUAUGGUUGUAAAGCACUUUAAGCGAGGAGGAGGCUACUUUAGUUAAUACCUAGAGAUAGUGGACGUUACUCGCAGAAUAAGCACCGGCUAACUCUGUGCCAGCAGCCGCCGUAA